Molecule: long non-coding RNA, 536 nt
Organism: Hordeum vulgare subsp. vulgare (domesticated barley)
Lineage: Eukaryota; Viridiplantae; Streptophyta; Magnoliopsida; Poales; Poaceae
Exons: 2
Source: RefSeq, a predicted model, not a curated record
GCUUCACUUGAUCAGCUUGUAAAUUGGAUUAUGACUAAUCAAGAAGCUUCAAAUGAGGUACUUGUACAGUCAAGCAAGAUUGAAGUUCCAAUUGGAAUUCUACAAAAGGAGGCCUCUCAGCCUCGAGCAGAUUAGAAUUUGCAUGUUAAACUGACUGAUGCCCAUCAUGGCAUUGUUUUGUUCAUGUGUAUCUAGAGAGAGAUGAUUGUGCUAGUACUAUAGCUCACUUUAUGUGUGGUAGAGUUGCUACAUGUCGAGUGGAUUUUAUGCAGGGGAUCAUUUGCAGCUGAGCACCUCAUGUUAAAAGGAGAUGCUACAGGUGUUUGCCCUUUCUCCUGUAUUUCUGGUAGUGAUUGUUUGUCUUCUGGCCACUACAGUAUAGAUGAAAUGUCACAAUAUUCAUUGAAGCUGAUAUUGUUUUGUUGUUGGGAGAACCUUAGCAUGCACAUUGUCUCCUGUAGCUUUGCACUGUCCAUCUAAUACACCAUCAUAUUUACUGUUUAGGUUAUAUAUGGAUUUGCAAACCUGUAUAUUGA